This 258-nucleotide long non-coding RNA is filed under the name Gossypium barbadense (sea-island cotton). RNAcentral describes it as "long non-coding RNA (GBAR_LNC003934)". Lineage: Eukaryota; Viridiplantae; Streptophyta; Magnoliopsida; Malvales; Malvaceae. The record is from RNAcentral.
GCACCUUUUGAGAUUUUUACAGGAUAAUGGUGACUACCCUUGGCUUGUUUGUAGGGAUUUUAAUGAGAUUCUAUAUGGGUUUGAAAAAAAAAGGUGGAUUACCUAGAGAUGAAAGAAUGAUGGAAGCUUUCCGAAAAGUGCUAGAAGACUGUAAUUUGAUUGAUGUAGGCUAUUCAAGAAGAUGGUUCACUUGGAAGAGGGGUAAUUUGCCAGAAACGAAAAUCCAAGAGAGAUUAGACAAGGGAGUAGCAACUGAAG